Long non-coding RNA from Homo sapiens (human), 3250 nucleotides. The record is from Ensembl. NCBI's taxonomy places the organism in Eukaryota, Metazoa, Chordata, Mammalia, Primates, Hominidae.
AUGCCCCGCGCCGCGUCCCUUCCCCCGGCGCAGCCCCGCCCCGUGCCGCCCCGCAGCCGCCGCCAUUUUAAGUGAUCUGGAAGCGGGCGGUAUCGAGGGGCGUGCGGCCGCCAUCCCGACGGCGGGCAUGGCCUUUGGAGGCGGUGGCGCCGUCUUGGGACUGGCAGAGGGGAGGUCCCCGUGUUGGUGCGGUCCGGCGGGCUCCAAGCUCGGGCACACCGAGCUCGGGGCCGUCUUGUCGCGGCGUAGUCGUGGCCGCCAUCUUGGGCAGGCUCCGCAUUUGGGGUCUUCUGGCCGCCGUGCUGGGGACAGUCACCCCCGCUCCCUGACCCGGGCUGGAUGCGAGGACUGUCGCCGCUCAGAGGGGCUUAUGACCUGUGAAGAGCCCUGGGGGCUGCUGUUGGGCUUAGGGAUGGCCCGGGCGAACUCCUUGGGCUAGAAGAGGAGGCACGGGAGCGGUUGGCGACCGCUCUUCGCAGGAGGAGGGAAGGGGCAGCUCCUUGCCCCAGGAGCCCUGGGCGCCUGUCCGCCUUCCUGCUUGGCUGCAUUUCGGCUCUGAAAAGGCCUAGAGACUUGAUUCUCCUGGCUGGCCGCUCUUUCCACCAAGGCCCUGUUUCCUGAAUGCUGGACACUAUCCUGCAUCGCCCCAAGUUACAUUUACAUGAGAGUGAGGGCCCCCCACUUGACCUCUCCCUUGCAGAGACACCCCAGGCUGGGUCGUGCUGGGCGGGUGUCGGAGGCGGCGUUGGAGAGAUGAGCCAGAGGGUGGCCCUGGACGCCAAACCGCCCUGCAGUCCUCCGAGCUGCGCUUUGAGGGCUGUUGAGAGAGGGGUGGAAGGUGGAGGUGCGAUUUUUGCCUCGGCAUCUAGAGAGGCGAAGGAGCAGCCCUGGGCUCCGCUGCUGACUGUGGCCAUGGGCCGUUAACCUCAUCAAAGCCCAGUUUCCUCCUGUUGUAGAUGGGAGAGGAACAGUUUUUGAACUGCGUAGAACCUCGGCAAGUCUUAGCGCUGCAUUUGUGUUUUCUAAGCUGUAAUUCUAGUUAUUGCUACUUUUGACUUGUGGAAUGUGGCUCCUCCCUGGGGAGUCCUCCAAAGUCCCUUCCCUCGUGUGACUUCCUUCACUGCGGUUCACUGCAGCCCCUACCCCCGCUCCCAGGGUCCUCAGCAUCGCAGUCCCUGCAGAACCUGUCUCUUCUUCAUGACGUGAGUCAUGAGGCAUUGGACAGGUAAUUGCUGGGAAGAGCUCUUGGCCAGGCUAAAAUUUCUUUCUCAGUCGCAGUGUCUGGCUGGGGGCGGUGGCUCACGCCUGUAAUCCCAGCACUUUGGGAGGCUGAAGGGGGUGGAUCACUUGAGCCCAGAAGUUCAAGACCAGCUUGGCCAACAAGGUGAAACCCUGUCUGUACUAAAAAUACAAACAAAAUUAGGUGGGCACGGUGGCGCACGCCUGUGGUCCCAGCUGCUCGAGAGGCUGAGCCAGGAGGAUUGCUUGAACCCGGAGGCGCAGGUUGCAGUGCGCCGAGAUCGCGCCACUGCACAUCGCCUGGCGACAGAGUGAGACUCUGUCUCCAAUUAAUUAAUCCCAGUGUCUUUACCUACAUAGAACUGGCAACUUUAAAUCCUGUGCUUCUGUGGAGGGAGAGCGAAGGAAGAGUGUGGACAGUGGGGGCCAGGAAGUUCUCAGGUAGCCCAGCAGGCCACGCAGAAGUCAAGGGGUGUGUAGGUACAGGAGGGGCCGUCUCCACAGGGAGACGCCUGGAUCCAUACUCCAUCCAGGCUUCAUCUGCAGAGACCAGGGGUGGACACCUCGUUUGUGGGGGCCGUCACAGCUGAUGCCCCAGCUCAGGAUGUCCACCAGAAACCAGGAGUCACCAUCCUCUUAAGGGUGGUGCCUGUCCUCCAGAGAGCAUAUCACUGGGUUCAAACCCCAGCUCCUACCGGCAAAGCCCGGGGCCUCCACCUGGGUGUUCCCAUCCAUGAAGCGGGGAUACACAGUGUGGAGCCCUUGGGAGGUUGGGGAGUGUGCCUGCCCUCACCGCGCAUCAGCUCAUAAAUACAACAACAGUUGCCUUCACGUGCUGAUGCUCAGUGAGCAGUGGCGCAGUUCCCCAGCUGGCGCAGUCAGUGGUGUCUGUCUGCUGUCAGAGGUCACCUGGACCCAGCACGAGUCCUUGCCCCUAGAGGGAGUCUCCACACACCCCACGACGCUGUCCUCCCUGUGGGAUAACUACACGAGGAGAUGGCAGGCCAUCGUAUCAUUCAGUGCAGCGAUACCUCCUGUGGUGGGAAUGGGGUCAGGAGGGAUUUUCCCGGAGCAGGGCCACUCGCUGGCCUAGCCUGGGGUCUCCACUUUUGGAAGUGUGGUCUUGUGGGGUCCAGGUUCUCCUUAAGGGCCUUUACAAGGAAUGGGAGCGUCCAGUGGUGGAGAGGAGCUGGCUGGCUGCGCCUGCUACCCACACGGGAAUGUCCUCCUGGGCUCCUCUCUUCAACUGGCCUUCACCUCUCCGCCUCACAGAUUUCACUCGGAGAAUCCGCCUUGCAGCCUGUCUUCUGCUCCCUCCCAUCUACCUUUUGUUUUUUUUUGAGACGGAGUCUUACCCUGUCUCCCAGGCUGGAGUGCAAUGGCGUGAUCUUGGCUCACUGCAGCCUCUGCCUCCUGGAUUCUCCUGCCUCAGCCUCCCGAGUAUCUGGGAUUACAGGCAUGCACCACCAUGCCUGGCUGUUUUUUUGUAUAUUUAGUAGAGACGGGGUUUCACCACGUUGGCUAGGCUAGUCUCGAACCCCUGAGCUUGUGAUCCACCUGCCUCAGCCUCCCAAAAUGCUGAGAUUACAGGCGUGAGCCACCACGCCCAGCGUCUGUCUACCUUUUAUUCCCAUCACUCCCCACCCCAGACAGGGUGUUGUGUUAUGAUGGGGAAGGCCCUUGUGUCUUUUGGGUGUGUUAGACCUGGGAAACAAUCUGUCUUCUCCUUUCACGUGCCCCAAAGCAGGACUCCAAUCUUCCCCGGGCCUUUCUGAUUGGGAGUCUUAAGACCCUCCCCAGAGAGGGCCCCACCCUGUUCCCUGGGAAAGGAAUGCUGACAAAACCCUACAGGACGGUUUGGAGACAGGGUUAGUUCAACUCGUGUGUGUCCCCAGAGGGUGACACCACAGGGAUGAAUGGGAGCUCCAGGCCCCUCCCCAGCACCUCAACCUGCACAUUGCUUCAUCUGGAUCCUUUGUAACAUCCUUUAUAAUAAACCAGUGAAGGUGUU